This 739-nucleotide unclassified non-coding RNA is filed under the name Zea mays. RNAcentral describes it as "misc RNA Zm00001eb339440". The record is from RNAcentral. Lineage: Eukaryota; Viridiplantae; Streptophyta; Magnoliopsida; Poales; Poaceae.
UUUAGAUCUCUGGUGGGCCACUGCAAUUUUGUCAUAGAGCAUAUCUCCAUCUGAUGACAUCUUGAAAGAUUCAAAAAAUGCGAAAUCUAAGAAACUAAAACAUGUAUUAAGGCCCCAAACAAUUUUUUAUGGAGCACCUUGUUCAAAUGAUGAUGCAUGGGUGAUUUGGAGAGUGGGUUUAGAACGACUCUAUCCUCACUUACUUGCAUCCAUUCCAAUUAGUAACACAUAGCUAACCGCAACAGGCACUGGAAAAACCAAUGUAAAGAGGUCACCGCUAGAUGCAAACCGUUUUUCACGAUCUCUCUCCCACACGCACACACACACGGAACCCCUACUUUAUUCUACUACCAACUCUUGCAUUCAAAAGAGUGAUGAGUCUUGCUACGCGCCUCUCGGUACGUUCGUCAACUUCUUCGGCAUGCUGCAAAAAGACAUACGUACUACACAAGAUAACUGAGACCGAUGCGGUGAGUGAUGCUCAUCAGGUAUCCUGCAACAACAAACAGCAAAAUAUCGCACUAAUAAGCAAGCAAGCAAGCAAGCAAAUUCCUUGUAGUUUGUUUUUUUUCCCUAAAAGAAGAAGAUCAGGUCCAGGUACUACAUGCUGCUCUUAUAUCGAUCAGAUUACUCAAGGAUUGCGCUAUGCAGAUUACUGCAGGAAAAUUAUUUCCAGUGGAUGGAAUAUGCUGCAAGUGCAAGGUUGCAAGCUGUUCAAUCACCAUCCUAUAUACACUAA